Molecule: long non-coding RNA, 651 nt
Organism: Drosophila pseudoobscura
Lineage: Eukaryota; Metazoa; Arthropoda; Insecta; Diptera; Drosophilidae
Exons: 2
Source: RefSeq, a predicted model, not a curated record
AGAUGAUUUCCCUUUGGGUUUUCUUGCUUCGGCUUUCCAAUAGUCUGCUAAAUCACUAACAAAAAAAAACAUAUAAUUCCCAAACUGCUUGAGACAAAAAUUCACCUUUAAUUUGUUUGGUGGGACGAGAGACAACUGCAUUUAUUGUUUUGCAGAUCACCGUGGAUCCCCCAGAAUCGGACAACGACGUUAAUGCCUCUGAACAUAACCCGGACCACGACUCGACAGAUCCUCCGGCACCUCUUCCUCUUUUCAGAUCCGGACAGCGAGCUCCACGAGUCGGACAACGAGGCUACUACCACCUGGUAAUACCUGGACCACAACUCGGGACACACACUUCCUUUUCUUCUACCUCCGAUACAUAACUACCAUGUCUAUUUUCCUCACUGCUACUCCUCUCAGCGGAUACGACGGCUAGGAUUUAUUCCCGGCUCGCGGACCGGCUGAGUUUCGUUCUACCAGGGUUCCAUUUUACACCGGGUCUUUAAGACUCGUGUUUAAAAUCGAUCCCUUCUAUUUUCCCUUGGGCGCCAUUUGUUAUGAUCCGCCUCUUUGCCACCCUGGCCUAUCGUUCCCAGCUAGCUCACGGGGAAGUCAGGGGUGUUUCCGACCCGAUAAGUCAGGGGACGGAUUGAACAAAACAAAAACAAA